UACGGAGGGUGCGAGCGUUAUCCGGAAUUACUGGGUUUAAAGGGUGCGUAGGCGGCCAAGUAAGUCAGGAGUGAAAGUUUGCGGCUCAACCGUAAAAUUGCUUUUGAUACUGCUUAGCUAGAAUCAGGAUGAGGUUAGCGGAAUGUGGCAUGUAGCGGUGAAAUGCAUAGAUAUGCCAUAGAACACCAAUUGCGAAGGCAGCUGGCUAGACCUGUAUUGACGCUGAGGCGCGAAAGCGUGGGGAGCAAACAGG
RNAcentral lists this ribosomal RNA (253 nucleotides) under uncultured bacterium. RNAcentral's name for it is "partial 16S ribosomal RNA". It matches the Rfam family "Bacterial small subunit ribosomal RNA", at positions 524 to 776 of the family's 1533-position model. The record is from RNAcentral.